AGGAUAAUAGUUAAUAAUAACAUUUAAUUUGCAAUUAAAAAUAAUUGAUCAUCAAUUUAUCUUA
RNAcentral lists this transfer RNA (64 nucleotides) under Scaphidema metallicum. RNAcentral's name for it is "tRNA-Ala". Lineage: Eukaryota; Metazoa; Arthropoda; Insecta; Coleoptera; Tenebrionidae. The record is from RNAcentral.